UAAGGUUUAGGUUAACCAAACCAACUGCCUUCAAAGCAGUCAAUAGGUGUAAUCACCCACUUAACCUUAA
Molecule: transfer RNA, 70 nt
Filed under: Amphiura digitula
Lineage: Eukaryota; Metazoa; Echinodermata; Ophiuroidea; Amphilepidida; Amphiuridae
Description: tRNA-Trp
Source: RNAcentral